UACAGAGGUCUCAAGCGUUGUUCGGAAUCACUGGGCGUAAAGGGUGCGUAGGCCGCACGGAAAGUCAGAGGUGAAAUCCCGGAGCUCAACUUCGGAAUUGCCUCCGAUACUCCCGUGCUUGAGGACUGGAGAGGAGUCUGGAAUUCACAGUGGAGCAGUGAAAUGCGUAGAUAUUGUGAGGAACAUUAGUGGCGAAGGCGGCUUUCUGGACAGUAACUGACGCUGAGGCGCGAAAGCUAGGGGAGCAAACAGG
RNAcentral lists this ribosomal RNA (253 nucleotides) under uncultured bacterium. Its description in RNAcentral is "partial 16S ribosomal RNA". It matches the Rfam family "Bacterial small subunit ribosomal RNA", at positions 524 to 776 of the family's 1533-position model. The record is from RNAcentral.